AGUUGAGAAGCACAAGAAGCACCAUUUCACCUUAGGAAUUUUGCUCAUUCUCUCUCCAUGUGUUGAUGUCACUGUCUUUAUUGCUGUUAAAACUCUUCUAUAUACUACUUUGUUCUCACACUUCGGACACACUUGUGGAGAGAGCAAGAGACAGAGAGAAAGAGAGAACAAACAAGGAGCUUCUGUUUCUAGCUUCUAGCAACCUUCUUAGUUCAACAACACAAAGUCAGAAAAAUCUAUAAGCCUUUGUACUUAGCUCAGACAACUGAUUUGGUUAGCCAUGAACAACAGUGUUCCUGAUUGGAAUUUUGGGAGUGAUUCCUGUGUCACCACCACCAAUCAAAAGAAGCCCAUGAUAGGGGUGGACCAAGAGCUUGUAGAGCUUCAGUGGCAAAAUGGCCAGGUAGUGAUGCACAGCCAAACACACAGAAAACCGUUUGUGAAUUCCAUCACGCCGAGACCGCUUCGGAGGAAUUUUCAAUCAACAUUAAGGACUAGUGAGCCAUUUGGGAACUCAAGUAACUUGAUUCAAGAUGAUGAGACAGUCUCAUGGAUCCAAUACCCUCUUGAGGAUCCAUUGGAACAAGAGUUCUGUUCAAACCUUUUAUCUGAACUGGCACCUUGUGAAGUUGAGUCCUAUAAGCAAAUCAAGCCAUUUGAAGAGGGGAAGUUUACCAAAUUGGAUGCCUCUAGUACCCCCCAUGUGACUGAAACUUCGCAAUCACCUACCAUGAAAUCUUCCUCUUUUCAGGAAUUCUCAGGAAUUCCUAUACCUGCUCCAAGAUUCCAUGUUUCUGAUUCACCUCAGAAAAACAAUAAUGACUUGGGUGGAUCAUGUAAGGUCCAAAACUUCUCUCACUUUUCAGCACCUCUUAAUGUUUCUUCAGCAUCGGCUAACGCGCAUUUUAGGGACAAAAUUACUGGUAACAUGUCAAAAAAUGAGAUUAGAGAGUGCUCAUUGAUGACAGUUGGAUCAAGUUACUGUGGUAGCAAUCACAUCCCCCAAGAUCCAGAUGCAAGCAGGGCAUCAAGCAAUGGUGUCUGGACUACUACUUUAUCCGCCGAGCCUGAAGCUGUUAGAGACCAUGUGCCGAGAACAAGUCCUCAGAAUGAAAAAGGGAAAUCGGAGAUGCUUGAACCAACUACAACUUCAUCAUCCGGUGGCUCAGGUAGUAGUCUUGGAAAAAAUUGUUCGCUAUCUACGAGAAACCAGGGCCAAAAAAGAAAAGGAAUAGAUGUGGAAGAAUCUGAGGAGCAAAGUGAGGACACAGAACUUAAAUCAGCACUUGGAAACAAGUCAUCUCAACGUGCAGGGUUGGCUCGAAGGAACCGCGCUGCUGAAGUGCAUAAUCUAUCUGAAAGGAGAAGGAGAGACCGGAUCAAUGAGAAGAUGAAGGCAUUGCAACAACUCAUACCUCACAGUAGCAAGACAGACAAAGCAUCAAUGUUGGAAGAGGCAAUCGAAUACUUGAAAUCACUUCAGUUACAACUUCAGCUAAUGUGGAUGGGAUCUGGCAUGGCACCAAUUAUGUUUCCAGGAAUUCAGCACUAUAUGUCACAAAUGGGUAUGGGAAUGGCUACACCGCCUUUCCCUCCUAUUCACAAUCCGAUGCAAUUACCGAGACUGCCGCUUGAUCAGUCUGUAUCUGCGUCUCAGACACCAAACCAGACAUUAAUGAGCCAAAAUCCUAUUUUGGGUGCCUUUAAUUACCACAAUCAGAUGCAAAAUCCAGCUCUUUCAGAGCAAUAUGCGCGUUACAUGGGCUAUCAUCUUAUGCAAAAUGCCUCUCAGCCAAUGAAUGUAUUCAGAUAUGGUCCCCAGGGGGUACGGCAUAGUCAAACAAUGAUUACACCCAGCAACAGCAGUGGAAACAUGAGUGGAGCAGCAAAUAUUGAUGAGGCUGUGAGUGGCAAAAUGGGUUAAUUAGUUUCAAAGCAUGCUUUUGAGUACCUAUGGCGUAACUAACAAGAUAAUUGCAAGAUGAUAGAAGCCCUUGUAAGGCUUGUAUGCUUUCACAAUAUGUCUGCCUGUUCAUACAGUGGCUGAUCUACAGUUAUGUGAGGGUCUAGGGUUCUUCCACCUUUAACUAAAAUAGCACUCAGCAUCUAAUCAAACAUCCUUAAUUGGAGGGUUUGGAUGGUGGAAUCAACCCUGAAAGCGCCAAGAUAUGUAUAUAUACUUCAAAUUUGUGUAGUAUGGUGGCCAUGCAAUUUAUAUCAAAUGAAGAGUUUUGUUGUUAAGAUUGUAGUAGACAGGUCCUUCAUUAUGGCCAGUUUUGUUCUCAGCUCAUUAUGUCCCAUCAGGUAGAGCAAUUUGGGCUGUUUGUAGAUCUGGGAAAGUAACAUGAUGAGCUAUGUUUUUUGGCUGAAAUAGGCAAUCAUUGUGUCUCAACUUAGCAAGAGAACAGUUAUGAAUUUAACCACUAUACACUUAAAAAGUGUAAAAACUUUUAUAUUCUCAA
This is an RNA transcript of Glycine soja, 2462 nucleotides long. It is a transcript of the gene named transcription factor PIF4-like, with no coding region annotated. Lineage: Eukaryota; Viridiplantae; Streptophyta; Magnoliopsida; Fabales; Fabaceae. The transcript is spliced from 10 exons. The record is from RefSeq and is a predicted model, not a curated record.